This is a long non-coding RNA of Mercurialis annua (annual mercury), 967 nucleotides long. RefSeq lists it as uncharacterized. Lineage: Eukaryota; Viridiplantae; Streptophyta; Magnoliopsida; Malpighiales; Euphorbiaceae. The record is from RefSeq and is a predicted model, not a curated record. The transcript has 5 exons.
UCUUUUGCAGUGUGGGGGUUGCCUUUCACAACCUUGGACAGUUUAAUUUUGCACAACGCAAACUAGAAGAAGCUCGUCGGUGCCAAGAGUUUUCUUUCUCUACUAUUCGACCCGCAUUGUCCUUUGCUGUCAGCACCAAAGAUAAAUAUGAGAAAAAAAUCAUAUUGUGUUUUUAUCGGUCGGUGCCCGGGUCUGUAUGAAAGCUGGGAAGAGUGUAAGGCUCAGACUUCUAAGUAUUCAAAUCCUAUGCAUUUGACUCCGAAGAUGAGGCUUUGACAGCCUAUGCUAGAUUUUUUUAAGAAGGCUUAUGGUGCAAGAAUAAUCCGCGGUAAAUAUGUCCUAUUUGUCAAAGUUCACUUGAAAUCAACAUCUCAAAUCGAAAAGAAAAUGUUGGACAACAUUAUUAUAGUUGUCAAACUAAGGGAUGUGCAUAUUUGCAAUGGGUUGAUGCCAUAAUGAAGCACCGUAAACCACGUAAACCAUGCAAGGUGAUUGUACCUUUUAUAUUUCUCUGAUUUUAAGGAAUUGUUAUGCUAUUUGAUUUUUCAAUUUAUUUGUUGCUAGGUUGGUGAGUCUAGCAGCUCUAGUUCUUCAACAAGUGAAGUUGUAAUUGAUGAGCUUCAAGUUGCUCAACACGAAAGAGACCGUGCAAUUAUGAAGUAUGAGUUGUAUAAAGAAGUAUUAAGUGAAUUUAUCAGCAUGACGUUGAAGGACAAAUAAGCUCUUAUGUAAGGACCAUGCAACAAGUUAAAACAAUUUCAGUACCCCCACGUUGAAAACAAAAAACAAUACAAUUGCACCCUUUUUUGGGUUUUUAGGCAGUGUUUUGAACUGGUUGAACUGCCAGUUGAACUGGUUGGUAACGUCAAUGCUGUUGUGUAACUAUUCUAUUCUUUUACUCAUUUAUUUGUUGAAUUUCUACCAAUUUCUUUACUAGUUUUCAAAGGAUGCCAUUAAAUUCUUUUCA